AGUUCUAGCCCAUGACUGCAAAACGUGGACAUUCGCCGAGACACUAGAUAUAAAACAGAACACGUCUGGAAUUUUUCGUGGCGGGAAUGAUCACAGAGUCAGUGGCGGGGCGUGGACCUCAUGAGCGGGACCGACGAGAGAUCCCCGAAAGCGUGGGAACCUGCCGCCCAAAAUGACAGCGCCCCAAAAGAGAAUGGCGGCGUGCCAAGUUCAUCAGGCGUAGUGCUAGAGGUGAAAGAAUUCCGAGGGAUAGGACCUUCACCGGUUUUCUGCAGAUCCACGUGCGAGGGAGCUUUUUUGCUUCAGCGACACAACGCAACACCGAGUACCGGCGUUUUCGAAUUUUCAGCGGGCCAUGUUCGCUGUUGUCGCACGGUGCUUCGGUCAUGGAACGCUCAACGCGCGAAAGGCAACUGAGGAAGAUUCUAGAAAAGUGACGAAGAUUUUGAGGAUGCUGUAACAUCAUGGAUGGGAUAGUUGAACCAAGACACCAUUACAAACUCCUGGUAUGAACUGUGAUCAGGUAGAGCAGAGACUGGCUGAAACUUGUCCUGCUGAAUAUUCAGAGGUGGCUAGAUAGACAGUGAUUGGACCUAUCCUUAUGAAUAUGCUGAAAGAAUGCAUGGCUGACAAGGUUGCCUGGAGCCUCCCCCCUAUGAAUAUUCACCAAGGAGGUAUGGCAAGAGCUGAGCCUACAUACUGAAGUACAUGUACAUCACUCAGUUUUCGGUAAAGGACUACCUGCUUGAGCUAACUGAACCUACUAUGUAGAAAUUACUUGCUGCGUGUGGUCUUGGUAGCUGUCUUUCUGGAAAUGUGAUCUUCAGUUGAUCAAGCAGACAUUUGAUUCAUUGCGAAGCUUCCAAAGGGAUAUGACUGGUGAGCAGCAAAGUAAAUGAUUCGUGCGCACUGAAACUUGAAAAACGUCUCGGAAUGCUGCUCUUCUGAAUAGUGAUGACUAGAAUUGCAAUGACUCCCACCCCGUCUCCCAUUGGAAUGGUGAACGACAUGCAAGUCUCGACUCAGUGCUGACUUGUGGCUGGAAUGACAUUGAUUCCUGGCCUGCCUGAAAUGUACGUUUGAUUACGAUCAUGGAGUGUUGAACUUUUCAAUUGACAUUUGGGAUUUUGGCUGGAUUUUCGCUGGCACCAGUUGAAACCCAAAUUCUGCUGAACUUUGCAUCAAAUACUUGCAGCACUUGGAGGCUCAGAGUCCAGCUGUCUCCUCCCCGCCCCACGAACUAAAUUGACACUGAAACUAUGAUGGUGACAGAACUAAGCCCAUGCAGUGGGCCUGCAACUUCACGUGACUGGAUCUUGGAACUCUCAAAAUGAACCAGGUAUGUCGAGCAAUUUACAGAAACCUGUCUGCUUUAGACUGCAAUCUCGUGGCUGCACAGACGUACCGUUCAAGUCCCCUCUGAGGUUUUCAGAGGCAUUUGGCAGGAUGGAGGAAGGCGGAGCCCAUCCACUUUUACUUCACAUGGGGGCUUGAUGCUCCUUGAAAGUUCAGGUGCAACGGUUGUGGCAUUGGUGCACUGCAUCCGUAGUGACGGAUGUUUUAUGCUUCCUAGCAGGACUCCACAAGUCAAGGCUGACGUGGGAUCAAGAUCUAAACUGCCCCCCCUUGCACUUGAUGCGGCUGCAGACUUCCUAGGAUCCCUGGAGUUUACACAGUGCAUCCCCUGCUGAAGUUGUGCAUGGGAGCCAAAUUUCCGGAAUCUAUGGAUGGUGUAAUUUCUGACUGCCAUCGUCGCUGGAGAGAGGGCGCUGCUGGAGAAUGGCCCGAUCAUCUGAGCUUAGAGAAAGAUAACUUGGUGCAUUUGGGAAACUAGAUGGUACCAGCACAAGUCCACUCGGCCAUUGCAGAAACAAGAAGGAGGGGAAACUGCCAGAGAAGAGACUAACCCCGGGGCUAUGUGCAGGUGGAUUGUCUCCUGAGGGCACGGCCCACCUGAGCCAUGAUUGGAGUUCCCAUCAAGAUGAAGGGGUUUGUUGAAUGAGAUCAGUGGGUGUGUCCUCUGAGAGGAAUAGGGUGCCCAUUGAUAUGAAUGGGUGCGUCCAUUGAUGUGAGUGGGUGUACAUGUAGGCAUUGAGAUCAAUGGGCACGCCCACGUAAACAGAAAUAGAAGUAGUGUGGUCAAAAGUAACUGACAAAAUUAUUGUUGAAAAGCGUUCUUGGUUUAAAGAUGGUAAUGGGAUUAAACUCCCUGUGAAAUUAUGCUCUGCGGAAAGCUGUCAAUUUUGAAGAAGCCAAUGAAAGAAGGCCAUUUAAGCGAAGCAUCUGAAGAACGAUUUUUGGAAUAUUGCCAUUAGAAGCAAGUGUGAUACACGUACCACACACACACACACACGUGCCCGGUUACUGCAGUUCGUCAGAUCAGGGUGUGACAUCGCUUAACUGCAUUUGGCUGAACGGGAGAACGGCUUCAGACGCUGAAUUCAGAUGCAGUUCAAAAUAUGACUCUGGCCCCUUUUGAUCUGAAAUCAAAAUCCUAGAGUAUUGUUUUUCUCAGAAUCUGCCGUAUUCACUGAACUGAAACGUCAUCAGGUUUGUUCUCAGGCACCCUUCUUUAGAUUCUCAGUUAGUUUGUUGCCUCAAAGGAACACGAUGGACGAAUGAUAGACUGUCCCGGACCCUUUGAAAUAAAAUGAGUUUUACCCGUGCAAAAUGUUGACACAGGAAACUUGAGAAGAUUCAAGUGCGAUGAACACAAAGACAGGCUUAAUUUGUGGACAGGCUGAUGACGCGUUGUAAAAGGCUCCUCGCCUUCCCACCCCACAUUUCCUCUGGGUUUGUUUGGUGUCGAUAAUCUGUAGGUGAAAAUCAGGGUCAGAAAAAAAAAAAUGCUUUUGAUCGUUCAAAAUCAAAAUUGAAAAGCAAACGAUUAAUCGAUGGAAAAACGUAUUGGAAACUUGCAGCCCUAGGACAAAUGGAUGUUGAUGCUGUAGAGUUAUCAUUUAGAUGUACAGGAGAACCUGAUUACCAGUCUCUAUAACCUACCUGCUUGGGGUGGGGGGUCAUGUUGGCUAUACACUCCUUACCAUGAGUGCCUACUUUACCCAAUUAUUCUGUGCACCGUGUCAGGUGUUUGCCUCAGUGAUGUUCCCUGUGGUAUUUUUCAGCCCUAGAUAUGUGCAUGUGAACAAGGGCUGUCUUUGGACAGAACUGGGUGGAAUGUGUCCAUGUUGCUGUCAGUAGACUGGCUUUCUUGGACAGGUGCGGCUGGACGACCUCUGUAGACUAGUCAGCAGGCGUUCCCUUUGCGUGAGGUAGUCGGUUGUAAAGAUAAGAAAUACACCUUAAGGCGAUAUCUAUACAACCCACUAACUUUCCAAAAGGUUUGCACAGGCAUCGAUGGACCUGACAAGACGCGGCUUGGAUAGUCACAAACAUGAACAUCAUAGGAUCUGAUUGGACAACUCCUAGGUACUUUUACCAGUAGUGUGGUUAUUGAGGGAUCUGACUGGAUGGACUGGUGCAGCCCCAAAUACUGCUGUUAACAGCAAAAAACAGGUUACCAACCAGAGUGCCAUGCAGUGUACAAUCCUUGAGACUGGUCUUCCACUCAUUGUUUGCUUAGCGCAAAACUCUGCUAAGCAGUGUAUUGACUCUUAAUACAAGGCUGUUUGCAAAGCAACUGACUAUGGCUGGAAAUAAAGGUUCUAUGAAAAGUGGUUGCAGCUGCC
This is a long non-coding RNA of Acanthaster planci (crown-of-thorns starfish), 3689 nucleotides long. The record is from RefSeq and is a predicted model, not a curated record. NCBI's taxonomy places the organism in Eukaryota, Metazoa, Echinodermata, Asteroidea, Valvatida, Acanthasteridae.